CCUUCUGAAGGGGAGUGAUGUUGUUCUGUGUGGGGAGAUGCUUGAAGCCUUCUGAUGAGGACAGGGUUUGCAGCUGUAGAGCCCAGAGUAAAACUGAGAGCAAAGGGAACCAGGACAUUUUGUCUCAGCAAACCUCUCCUGAGGGUUGGUACAAAAAGAGUGAAGAAUGCUGUGUCCAAUAAGGUAGAAGAGAAAUAUCUACAGAACCAGAUGUCUACUGCAAAUACCUUUUGUGAAAUGGUCCAUGGGCUAUUUGAUCAUGUACAUUUUAGUUCUAUACCUCAACAGACACAUGUUGGUAUUUAACCUGGACCAAGAUUAUUUUUUCAAGGGACAUAGUUCUCCUGGUGAAUUCUCUGCACCUGGGAUCUUUCCUCUGCAAUUCUCCUUCUCAGUCUAAGAGAUGGUUCUGCAAAGUGUCUGUCUCAGCUGGCAUCUAAACUAUUGCAUUCAGUCGGAGCUAUUGUCUCAUGAAUGUGAACAUUCCUGCAUUUUAUCAGCUCCGAAUGUAGAAGGCAACUCACAGAUCACACAUAGAAAGGAUUUUUCAAAGUUUGAAAACUGCUUUUUAAAAAAGCUAGACCCUAAUGACUCGAGAUAUUAUUUGUGCGUGCCUGUAGGCUGAAUCAACACUUGGCCUAUCAGAACGUACACAGAGCAGCGUCUCUUUCAAGGUCUUAAACAGCUUUGAUUGAAUCUUCGUGUACCUUAAAUUGAUAAUGCAAGCAGACUGUAAUACACAAUAUUCAUAACAAUGGAAUACAUCUUCAUUUGUAAAUACACACUUUUGUGCCAAGUUAGCACAUAUUCAGGGAUGUCUCAGCCACUUAUCGACGUGGCAGCAGCCUGGUGUUGUUGCUCUGCUGUGACAAAUAUUGCUGCUGCUCUGGAGGUGGGGAAACUGAGGCAGGUGCAGGUUAAAAGAUUCACUUGGGGCUGUAAGGCCGGCACUGAUAGUGUGGAAAGGGUUGUUGGCAUCAGCCCAUUAGGCAGUCUGUGAGUCACUCCCUUGGACCUGGUGAUGCUUAUGUCUAUGGAGAAAACGCCUACUGUAGAGAGAUGUUGAGAUUUUUGCCUGUCCUUGACACCAGUAGAAAUUAGAUGUUUGCCCUUGAGCACCCAUACAAAGAGAUUGGUUACUCUUUG
Passer domesticus (house sparrow) is the source of this 1146-nucleotide long non-coding RNA. RefSeq lists it as uncharacterized. The record is from RefSeq and is a predicted model, not a curated record. NCBI's taxonomy places the organism in Eukaryota, Metazoa, Chordata, Aves, Passeriformes, Passeridae. The transcript has 4 exons.